AGUGAACGCUGGCGGUAGGCCUAACACAUGCAAGUCGAACGGCAGCACAGUAAGAGCUUGCUCUUACGGGUGGCGAGUGGCGGACGGGUGAGGAAUACAUCGGAAUCUACUUUUUCGUGGGGGAUAACGUAGGGAAACUUACGCUAAUACCGCAUACGACCUACGGGUGAAAGCAGGGGAUCUUCGGACCUUGCGCGAUUGAAUGAGCCGAUGUCGGAUUAGCUAGUUGGCGGGUUAAAGGCCCACCAAGGCGACGAUCCGUAGCUGGUCUGAGAGGAUGAUCGGCGACACUGGAACUGAGACACGGUCCAGACUCCUACGGGAGGCAGCAGUGGGGAAUAUUGGACAAUGGGCGCAAGCCUGAUCCAGCCAUACCGCGUGGGUGAAGAAGGCCUUCGGGUUGUAAAGCCCUUUUGUUGGGAAAGAAAAGCAGCAGGUUAAUACCCCGCUGUUCUGACGGUACCCAAAGAAUAAGCACCGGCUAACUUCGUG
Molecule: ribosomal RNA, 492 nt
Filed under: uncultured bacterium
Lineage: Bacteria
Description: partial 16S ribosomal RNA
Rfam family: Bacterial small subunit ribosomal RNA
Source: RNAcentral